GACGAACGCUGGCGGCGUGCUUAACACAUGCAAGUCGAACGGAAAGGCCCUGCUUUUGUGGGGUGCUCGAGUGGCGAACGGGUGAGUAACACGUGAGUAACCUGCUCUUGACUUUGGGAUAACUUCAGGAAACUGGGGCUAAUACCGGAUAGGAGCUCCUGCUGCAUGGUGGGGGUUGGAACGUUUCGGCGGUUGGGGAUGGACUCGCGGCUUACCAGCUUGUUGGUGGGGUAGUGGCUUACCAAGGCUUUGACGGGUAGCCGGCCUGGGAGGGUGGACGGCCACAUUGGGACUGAGAUACGGACCAGACUGCUACGGGAGGCAGCAGUGGGGAAUAUUGCACAAUGGGCGGAAGCCUGAUGCAGCAACGCCGCGUGCGGGAUGACGGCCUUCGGGUUGUAAACCGCUUUCGCCUGUGACGAAGCGUGAGUGACGGUAAUGGGUAAAGAAGCACCGGCUAACUACGUG
RNAcentral lists this ribosomal RNA (468 nucleotides) under uncultured bacterium. Its description in RNAcentral is "partial 16S ribosomal RNA". It matches the Rfam family "Bacterial small subunit ribosomal RNA", at positions 28 to 507 of the family's 1533-position model. The record is from RNAcentral.